This 771-nucleotide long non-coding RNA is filed under the name Homo sapiens (human). RNAcentral's name for it is "non-protein coding lnc-C1QTNF9-8:1". Lineage: Eukaryota; Metazoa; Chordata; Mammalia; Primates; Hominidae. The record is from RNAcentral.
GAGGACUCCCGGUCUGGGCUUUUCCAUUUGAAAGACUCUGGCUGAACUUUCCCUGCUACCUGGUUGCAGAUUGCUUUCAGAGUCUUGUCUAGACCUGGCUUUCUGGUUUUUCUUAAAAAAAAGCAACACUACACAGUUCUUCAGCUGGAGAUGAAUUUGUGCUGACUGCUCAGUUCUGUCCUGAGGGUCUCUGGUGGAGGACCACAGAGCUCACUUACCAGGUGUUCAGGGGGCACACCAUGGCCAUUUGAGUAGUUAGCAGGGCCUGUCCCAGUCUUGCCUGAGUUCCUGAGCAAAGCCUGCUACCCACCCCCUGCACACUCUGCAAAGCAUUUCUGUCACAGCAAACUGUUGAUCAGCCCCUUGCCCUCCCUCCCCCAGGGGCAGGAUUAGACACAAGAGAAGAAUCAAACACUUAUGUUUCCUUUUAGUCGAAGACACCGGGAGAAAGUAGAUUGUGACCCUUAGCUAUGGACAGCAUCCAGAGACUUAAAAAUAGCUGAAUUUUACUGCAACGUUAAUAGAACCUAAAGGUUUCAGGCACCUAUGCAGGUGAAAAUCUUUGGAUUUCCAGCUGCAUAUCGAUGAAUGAUUCCAGUUUAAAGUCAGUGAACAGUGGGGCGAACUCAGGCAUUACAGGAAUGAAGAUGGAAUUGCUGAAAUACCCCUGCCAUGGCAUCUUUCAUCCCCUCUCUACACACACGCUUCUCUAGGUCACAGAAGCUAUGGGGAGGCCUCUGGCACCCUGGGAAGCUCUUUGAUCUACAACUU